RNAcentral lists this ribosomal RNA (468 nucleotides) under uncultured bacterium. RNAcentral describes it as "partial 16S ribosomal RNA". It matches the Rfam family "Bacterial small subunit ribosomal RNA", at positions 28 to 507 of the family's 1533-position model. The record is from RNAcentral.
GACGAACGCUGGCGGCGUGCUUAACACAUGCAAGUCGAACGGAAAGGCCCUGCUUUUGUGGGGUGCUCGAGUGGCGAACGGGUGAGUAACACGUGAGUAACCUGCCCUUGACUUUGGGAUAACUUCAGGAAACUGGGGCUAAUACCGGAUAGGAGCUCCUGCUGCAUGGUGGGGGUUGGAAAGUUUCGGCGGUUGGGGAUGGACUCGCGGCUUAUCAGCUUGUUGGUGGGGUAGUGGCUUACCAAGGCUUUGACGGGUAGCCGGCCUGAGAGGGUGACCGGCCACAUUGGGACUGAGAUACGGCACGGACUCCUACGGGAGGCAGCAGUGGGGAAUAUUGCACAAUGGGCGGAAGCCUGAUGCAGCAACGCCGCGGGCGGGAUGACGGCCUUCGGGUUGUAAACCGCUUUCGCCUGUGACGAAGCGUGAGUGACGGUAAUGGGUAAAGAAGCACCGGCUAACUACGUG